GAUGAAGAACGUAGUGAAAUGCGAUAAGUAAUGUGAAUUGCAGAAUUCAGUGAAUCAUCGAAUCUUUGAACGCACAUUGCGCCCGCCAGUAUUCUGGCGGGCAUGCCUGUUCGAGCGUCAUUUCAACCAUCAAGCCCCCGGCUUGUGUUGGGGACCUGCGGCUGCCGCAGGCCCUGAAAACCAGUGGCGGGCUCGCUAGUCACUCCGAGCGUAGUAAUACAUCUCGCUCAGGGCGUGCUGCGGGUUCCGGCCGUUAAAAAGCCUUAUUUACCCAAGGUUGACCUCGGAUCAGGUAGGAAGACCCGCUGAACUUAAGCAUAUCAAUAAGCGGAGA
Molecule: unclassified non-coding RNA, 334 nt
Filed under: soil metagenome
Description: partial contains 5.8S ribosomal RNA, internal transcribed spacer 2, and large subunit ribosomal RNA
Rfam family: 5.8S ribosomal RNA (bases 1-120)
Source: RNAcentral